CCUACGGGUGGCAGCAGUGAGGAAUAUUGGUCAAUGGGCGCGAGCCUGAACCAGCCAAGUAGCGUGAAGGAUGACUGCCCUACGGGUUGUAAACUUCUUUUAUAAAGGAAUAAAGUGAGGCACGUGUGCCUUUUUGUAUGUACUUUAUGAAUAAGGAUCGGCUAACUCCGUGCCAGCAGCCGCGGUAAUACGGAGGAUCCGAGCGUUAUCCGGAUUUAUUGGGUUUAAAGGGAGCGUAGAUGGGUUGUUAAGUCAGUUGUGAAAGGUUGCGGCUCAACCGUAACAUUGCAGUUGAUACUGGCAGCCUGGAGUACAGUUGAGGUAGGCGGAAUUCGUGGUGUAGCGGUGAAAUGCUUAGAUAUCACGAAGAACUCCGAUUGCGAAGGCAGCGUACUAAACUGCCACUGACAUUGAUGCUCGAAAGUGUGGGUAUCAAACAGGAUUAGAUACCCGGGUAGUC
Molecule: ribosomal RNA, 460 nt
Filed under: uncultured bacterium
Lineage: Bacteria
Description: partial 16S ribosomal RNA
Rfam family: Bacterial small subunit ribosomal RNA
Source: RNAcentral